CUUAGAUUUUGGAGAGAACAGGUAGCCUGGCAUUCAUCUAUUUAAAAAGGCCUCUGAAAAAAGUGAAAUUUUCAGUGCCAGGGCUUCCUAUUCACAAGGCAUGACCCUGGGCAUAUGUAACAUUUCCUUUCAAACAGGGAUGAUGUCUUAAAUUUUUAUAUUUUGGGAACACACUGUAUAUACUUCCUUUGGAAAGCAAAUCUCAGGAUUCCAAAGAAAAUCUUAUCCUCUUGUUCAUAUUCCUUGACAUCUAUAACUAAUAAUUCAGCAAAGCCACCUUCUCAUACCCCAAUAUCUAAUGACACCGUCUGUCCCUUGGAAAUGGAGAAGCUGUGACCCUGGAAGCAAAUGAUAGCAAAGGAUCUAAGUCAGGCACUCAGAUUAUAUAAAACAAAAUUUGAACUCAAAGUAAGCAAAUGUGUGCAUGCCCAAAUAACUUCUUUAUAGUUAACCUUUAUUCAGUUCUUCUUCAAGAUGCAGUGUAUCUAAGACUGCCAACCUCAAUCAAAAGACAAACUUAAUCAGUGCUGUGGUUUUAAUGUGUCCCCCAAAGCUCAUGUGUUGAAAAUUUAAUCCCCAAUUCAAUAAUGUUGAGAGGUGAUGCCUCUAAGAGAUGAUUAGGUCAUGAGGGCUGUGCCCUCAUGAAUGGAUUAAUGUCAUUGUCAUAGGAGUGGGUUAGUUCUCACUGGAAUGGCUUCCUGAUAAAAGGAUGAAUUCAGUCCCCUUCCCCUUCUUCCUUAUGCCCUCUUGCCCUUCUGCUUUCUACCGUGGGAUGAUGCAGCAAGAAGACCCUCGCCAGAUGCAGACUCCUCAGCCUUGGACUCCCAAGCCUCCAGAACUGAAGUGAUGGAAAAACUAUUCUCAGCAAAUGAGUGGAAAUUGCACAACUACAAGAUUUACCCAUUUUUUGAAAGCUGCCUGAGAAAGAAGAUAGCAAUCCAAAAGAAAAUUCUUCAUACAGUUCACAGAUGCUAACUGAUCCCCUGUUCCAUCAACCAUAACUACAGCUUUGACCGGACAAGAGACUGAUGUCAGUAACUUUCUCCUAAUAAGAAGACCACCAACCAUGGACUGAUGAUUCUGGCUGGUUUAAAGAGAUCACUCUUGCAUGCCUCUGUGUCCUAAAAAGGCCUUUUGACAUACAGGCCCUAAUUGUAAGACAUUUAAAUGUUAAGUCUCCACCUCAAAGUGAACAUGGGUUGUAUGUUACAUGCAUGUUUGCUUUAUACACAUGCAUCAGAACCACCUUUGUGAAUAUUCGUAGCCUUCUAUAACCUGUUGAAUAUGUAUGUUUAGCCAACCUGUUCAACAUAAAGCUCCUAUACCAACCGUUCCUCCUUUGAAGUGCCUGUCUCUGGUCUUGUCCAAAGACAUGCUUCCCAGGCUGCAGGAUGGUCACUUUGCAGACUAUAACCCUUUACAAGAAAUAAAGUCUCCUUUCCUUUUCCAAAUUUAUAGAUUUAAGUUGACAAAAUGAAUACUCCAAGAUCCCAUCAUCCAUAUAUUCUGUAGAUGGAGAGGUGUGGGGCCCAGGAUUUGCCUUUUUAACCAGACUCUCAGGUGGCUUUGAAUCAGGUCUUCUGAAAAACAUGGCUUGAGAAACACAUCUGGUUGGUUGUUAAUUUGUUUUAGUAUUAAAUCCUAAAUCCUUUGAUUUGGCAUACUAUAUACAAACUUAUGUAAUAAACCAGAGUUAAUUCAAAGGAAAAAGUAGAAUAUGAGAAAUCCAUUGUCAGCACCGUACAUUAUAUUUAUAAAUUUUCCUGAAUCACAUAAUCUAACUUAAGUUUGGUUUGCCAAAUGUGUGCCUCAUUCACUUUUCAGAGACUCUGAGAUUCAAAUAUAAAUAAACGGAUCCCUUGUUUUCUGAAUACAUUUAUUUGGGUGGUGGGAAAUGGGCAAAAUGCUUUUUCUAAUAGAAAGCCUGAUAAAAGAAAUCUUGACUGUCUUGUUGGUCAUGAAGUGGUUAUUAGAAAUCAACAUCUUGAAGUAUUUAAAUGCAAAUAAAUUAGAAGAAGAUACAUUG
RNAcentral lists this long non-coding RNA (2026 nucleotides) under Homo sapiens (human). RNAcentral describes it as "HSALNT0280422". Lineage: Eukaryota; Metazoa; Chordata; Mammalia; Primates; Hominidae. The record is from RNAcentral.